Molecule: transfer RNA, 70 nt
Filed under: Dipodomys ordii (Ord's kangaroo rat)
Lineage: Eukaryota; Metazoa; Chordata; Mammalia; Rodentia; Heteromyidae
Rfam family: tRNA
About the family: Transfer RNA (tRNA) molecules are approximately 80 nucleotides in length. Their secondary structure includes four short double-helical elements and three loops (D, anti-codon, and T loops). Further hydrogen bonds mediate the characteristic L-shaped molecular structure. tRNAs have two regions of fundamental functional importance: the anti-codon, which is responsible for specific mRNA codon recognition, and the 3' end, to which the tRNAs corresponding amino acid is attached (by aminoacyl-tRNA synthetases). tRNAs cope with the degeneracy of the genetic code in two manners: having more than one tRNA (with a specific anti-codon) for a particular amino acid; and 'wobble' base-pairing, i.e. permitting non-standard base-pairing at the 3rd anti-codon position.
Source: Rfam by way of RNAcentral
GGAAAUGUGGCUCAGUAGUAGAGUGCUUGCCUUGCAUGCAUAAGAUCCUGGGUUCGAUUCCUCAGUACCA